This is a non-coding RNA of Odobenus rosmarus divergens (Pacific walrus), 402 nucleotides long. The record is from the annotation of a RefSeq genome assembly. Lineage: Eukaryota; Metazoa; Chordata; Mammalia; Carnivora; Odobenidae.
AUGGGGCCAUUUUCCAUCCUGUGGGGCUGGGCACUCGUGGCUACCGUGAGUACAGAUGCCACUGUGAGCUUGGUGGAGCAAAGGCCCAGGUGGGUCCUGGUAGCUCACGGACAGGCUAAAACCCUGCACUGCAUCCUGAGGAAUUCCCAGUACCCCUGGAUGAGCUGGUAUCAACAGGACCUCCAGGGGCAACUACACCUACUGGCCACUCUGCGGAGUCCUGGGAAUGAGGAGGUCGUAUCCCUUCCUGGAGCACAUUACCAGGCCACGAGGGUCAACAGCAUGGAGCUGAGGCUGCGUGUGACCAAUGUGACCCAGGGGAGAACUCUCUACUGCACCUGCAGUACCAGACACAGGAAACGGAUGUUCGACACCUGGGACGACUUGCCUGAUGUCACAUAA